GCUCCCACGUCCAAGGAUGGCAGCAGGCGCGAAAAUUGUCCACUCUUUUGAGAGGAGACAGUUAUGAAACGUGAGUAGAAGGGUCGAGUGUAAAAACCUUGACGUGAAGCAAUUGGAGGGCAAGUUUUGGUGCCAGCAGCCGCGGUAAUUCCAACUCCAAGAGUGUCUAUGGUGGAUGCUGCAGUUAAAGGGUCCGUAGUCGUAGAUGCAAUUAAAAGGUGGUGUUAAAAGCCAUUGAGUUUGUUGAGAGUAGCGGAACGGAUAGGGAGCAUGGUAUAGGUGGGCAAAGAAUGAAAUCUCAAGACCCCACCUGGACCAACGGAGGCGAAAGCGAUGCUCUUAGACGUAUCUGGGGAUCAAGGACGAAGGCUAGAGUAUCGAAAGUGAUUAGACACCGCUGUAGUUCUA
RNAcentral lists this ribosomal RNA (408 nucleotides) under Ecytonucleospora hepatopenaei. Its description in RNAcentral is "bacterial SSU rRNA". It matches the Rfam family "Microsporidia small subunit ribosomal RNA", at positions 265 to 681 of the family's 1311-position model. Lineage: Eukaryota; Fungi; Microsporidia; Enterocytozoonidae. The record is from RNAcentral.